RNAcentral lists this small RNA (126 nucleotides) under Marmota monax (woodchuck). Lineage: Eukaryota; Metazoa; Chordata; Mammalia; Rodentia; Sciuridae. The record is from RNAcentral.
GCUGGGUAUGGUGGCUCAUGCCUGUAAUGCCAGGGACUUAGAGGCUGAGGCAGGAGGAUUGCAUGUUCUAGACCAGCCUUAGCAAGUUAGUGAGAUUCUCAACAACUUAGUGAGACCUUGUCUCAA